Paramuricea clavata is the source of this 234-nucleotide non-coding RNA. NCBI's taxonomy places the organism in Eukaryota, Metazoa, Cnidaria, Anthozoa, Malacalcyonacea, Plexauridae. The record is from the annotation of a GenBank genome assembly.
AGUUUUAUGUUUGGGCAGUGUUUAGUUUUGUGUAUAAUUAAGUAGCGCGAAAUUUUAUGUUCGUGGUAGUGUUUUGUUUCAAACACGUUUUCAAAGUGCACCUAUGUAAAAGUGUAAGUAUACUAUACCAAUAGUUUUUAAUAAGGAGUGGCAAUUUUUUGGUAAGAACAAUUUACUUUUGACAAGCAAGUUACAUCUUGAAAUGUUAUCCACCUAGAUAAUGCCAUCGUUUCG